This 8481-nucleotide long non-coding RNA is filed under the name Sus scrofa (pig). RNAcentral describes it as "lncRNA (ENSSSCG00000056070.1)". Lineage: Eukaryota; Metazoa; Chordata; Mammalia; Artiodactyla; Suidae. The record is from RNAcentral.
AUAGUAGCCAACUACAUGUUGAGACAAUACUUUGAGUAUACUGGAUUAAAAAUUAUUAAAAAUAUCACUUGUCAUUUUUUAAAAAGCGGCCACUGGAAACAUAAAACAGAUUAUUCGAAGAUAUUAUACUAAGCAAAAUAAGCCAGUCACAAAAGGACAAAUACUAUCAAUUACGACAUUUAUAAAAUCAAUUACCAAUUACUAAAAUUAUAAUCACACUGACUUAAAAAUUUUUUUCCUUUGCCUUCUUAGGCCUCACCUGUGGCAUAUGGAAGUUCCCAGGCUAGGGCACUGAAUGGGAGCUGCAGCUGACAGCCUAUGCCACAGCCACAGUAAAGCCAUACCUGAGCCUUAUCUGUGACCUAUGCCGCAGCUCGCAGCAACACAGGAUCCUUAAUCCACUGAGUAAGGCCAGGGAUCGAACCUACAUCCUCAUGGAUCCUAGUCAGGUUCUUAACCUGCUGAGCCACAAGGGGAACUCCUUAAAAGCUUUAUUUUAGGAGUUCCCAUCGUGGCACAGCAGAAACGAAUCCAACUAGGAACCAUGAGGUUGUGGGUUUGAUCCCUGGCCUCGCUCAGUGGGUUAAGGAUACAGUGUUGCUGUGAGUUGUGGCGUAGGUCACAUACAUGGCUCAGAUCAUGCGAGGCUGUGGCUGUGGCUAUGGCCAGUAGCUGUAGCUCCGAUUCGACCCCUAGCCUGGGAACCUCCAUAUGCCGUGGGUGUAGCCCUAAAAAGCAAAAUAAAAAAGUCUUAAUUUGUUUUAAAUACUCAUCAUAGGUGAUCUCAAGAGAUUUAGUAAAAUAUGAACUGAAAGUAUAAUAGAUACAAUUGGUAAAAAGGUAUUUAUAUUUGUAAACUACAAUUACUAUGAAUCAUUUUUCAGCAGAGACUUUCCUGAUCUCAAAUGAUAGGCUAAACUGAACCCUUAAAAUAGCAGGACAAGGAUGUUAUCUCACUAUUCAAGGCGAAGAAGGUCCAUUAAAAGUACCCUGUUUUUUUCCCCCCCGAUACAGCUCUGGUAUCUUCAUCAGUGGCUAGAACAUAGCAAGUACUCAGUAAGUGUAAAAUCAAUAAACAGUCCCUGCCUACAAAGGGUUUAUAGAGAUGAAACCCCAUAAGUAUACACAGGAAAAGAGGCAAUGUGUCAGAUGUGUCACAAGCUAAAUAUUCUGAGGCUUCUUAACAGGGACAGUUCAUUCUCGGCAGGGGCGGUUAGGAGAAGGUGUAAGUAACUGUUGAGCUGGGGCCACUAAAGUUAAGUGGAGAAUCUGCAUUCACUGCAAAAAAAAUAAAAAAUAAAAAAUAAAAAUAAAAAAACUGCUGGCAUAGUUCCAGAAGUGGAGAGGCAAGGAGUUUACGUUAAGCUUCUGAGUAGUAAUCAACAAGGCGGGAAGGUAGACUGGGGAUAGGACGGAGACUGUGAGUUGAAGCCUGAGUGCUGUCAUGUCUGGUAGGCACUGAGGCGAUGCUGCAGGUACUGAAGUAGAGAAGCCAUGCAAUUCUAAUGGCACUUGGAAAGAAUUAAUCUGGUUGCAUUCAGCAGGGCCCAUUAAAAAAAGGUCUAGAUUAAGUAGAAGAGUGGAUACCAGAUGUAGCCAUUGUCAGAAUCAGCUGAGGGAGCUGACACCCAUUCUAGACCUACCUAUUCAAUCUGAAAGGUUGGCAAAAUAGCCAGAGCCUUAGGUAUAAGGUAACAAGACAAUGAAGUGACAGCAAAAUGAAGAGGGGGAAAAAGUUCAACUAUGAAGCCUGAAACUGACAUUAAAAUUUGUGUUUUCCAUUAAGACUACAGUGGUUUCAUGGACAAAAAUUUAGCUUACCUAUCAGCCACAUAUAAACAUUUUUUCCCCCGUAACUUCAAACUUAUUACAAACUUAUUAAACUUAUUAUUAUUAUUCAAACUUAUUAAACUAAGUAUGGUGACAUAAAGAUUUCCCCUGUUAGAAAGGUGGUACAAUGUAGUGACAAAGAAUAUAGCUCUAGAGCUGGAGAGAUCUGUGUUUAAAUCCCUGCUCUGCCGCUUACUAGCUUUGAGCCUCUAAAAACGUUACUUCACCUCUGGAGGUCUGUUUCCUAUGGACACUGUUCAAAUGUCAGAAGUUUUUUUAUCAUUACCUCGAAACAGAUCAGACAUAAGAACAAUCACUUUGAAAAUUACGAGUUCAUAGCAGCAUACAAUCUUUUAAAAAGCAUGGACUAUUACUAUUUCUGAAAAUCAGAUGUAGUUGCCAUACCUGUUCCUGUACACGUUAUAAUGUGCAUUGAUACUUACACACAAUAGUGUUUUUAUACAAUCCUUCACAUUUGUGUGAGCCAUUCAUACUAUUAGAGUUAGCAUAUGACUUAAUUUUACAAGCUCGGUGGCAUUUAUAGUGGUUAGGCAACAGAACAUUCAUAAAUAGCCAAAAUGAACCUAUAAGUGACUUAGAAAUAAAAGGUGUGAUCUAGAUUUUGUUUAUUAAACAUAGACAUAUGAAAUUUGAGUUGUCUUUUGAGAAGACUUUCAGAUGAAAAGACAAGCGCAUACAACUAGGAACUGUUAUUAUUGGCUGCUGCUUGUCCUAUUUCGAGUAUUUCGAUUUCAGACAAGAACCCCAGCUGUGACCUCCAGAAUUUUGAGAACACCAACGGUUUUCAGGAUGUGCUUCUCAGAAAGUGCUAACUUAUAAGAUAUACAUACUGAUGGAGAAGAUGACACUUGAGGGACAACAUGAAAGCUGACCCUUUAUCAAUUUUAUAUAGUAGAGUUCACACAUAAAACUAUUUGAAAGGGGAAAAGAUGCCUCAUUGCUUAAAAAAGAAAAAAAAUGAUGGAGAAUAUCUCUAAUAUCCCAAUCUAGCUUUAAGGAGAAUGUACGAUGGAGGCAUUUCCCAAUUUACUCCGUUUUAAAACGCUUCCCAGCGGGGCAGGACCACAGCGGGGAGUCGAAUAUGCUGCCUGUAUACGAACUCCAGAGGCUUGGAGACGCUUGCUGGCAAUACAGGUGGACAACCUGGCCUGAGAGAAACGUGAAACAGGGAAAUCAACUAAUUAACAAUCAGGCCUAAGAAGAUAUCAGAUAUACCCAUUUAUAAUCAUUCCAGAAGCAUGCUACCGGUCUUCACAUCUAAAUGGCCUAAGAUAAAAAAAAGGUAGGUUGUUUUCAAUCCUUUAAGAAGUUUUCCAUGUUUUAUCAAAGCUACUCAAAACAAUUUCCCCAUAGUAUUGGAAAGUGAAUUUUUCCCACCAUUCUUGAAAAACAGAAUACACAAUUUAUUUGAAUCACUUCUUAUGCUUUUCUAAACUAUCUUCUAAAGCCAAGGCCUAGCAAAAGCAUUAUUAUUCUUAGAGAGGUUUUGCCGCUUGAUGGUUCAAUCCUUACACUUUCUGCAUAGAAGUUUUACUUAUAUUUUUCUUGUUUUUUAAGUAUAACUGAUCUCAAACCAGGAUUCUAAGUAUCCCCUGCAUUAGGACACACCCAGUCUCAGUUCUCUUUCACAAGAGCAAGAAUUCUGUUAGCUUAAAAGUAUAAUACCAAUUUAACAGUUUAAUAAAUUCUAUCGUAUUUCCACCAGAUAGAAGUUUCUUCAGAUAAACCAUGUUUCAAAAGAGACCUCUCAUACAGGUUCUCAGUUACUAUCGGUUCCCACCAGAAAAGGAAAGCUUUACAGAUUUUCAAAGGAAGCACCGGUUUCCACAAGCUCUUAAAUGGAGCAUAGAGGGUUCAAAAAAGACAGAAAAGGCAAAAGAGCAAAAGAUAGCAAUUAUCUGUCUAAGCAAAUAUAACCACUCAAAGGAGAGAAGGAACAAGACUGCCCUAAACCGAAACACUGGGAAAAGCAAUGGACCAUAAACAAACCUUCUUUUUAGAUCUUUAUACAGCCAACCUCAAACCUGAUACAGUAGCUACUUCAACUAAUUACCAUCAGCACAAUUUCUGCUGUAAAGAAGCUAGUGUAGCCCACGGGAUCCGUGAAUGUUAGCUGACAUACAAGCACUAUGAAGUUAUGAAGCACUCAUUUGAGCCCUCAUUAGGCAAACAGUUCACAGGAGCACCAUAAAAGCCUGUGCUCCAAACACGGACCUGAGAACCAGCCCUGACAUAGACCCUGGCUCACUUUAAUCACUGCAUGUGAUAGCGCCUUCAUUUCCCUACUUGUGAAACAAGGAAAGAAUUGAGAAUGGUUUAUAAAGUGCUUAGAAAAUGAAAAAGACCCACCAUCAAUAUUACUUUAUAACACUAUAAAGGCCAGCAAGGGAGCCUUUACACUUACAGCUCAUCCUUAAUAAAGGCAUCAACCAAGUCAAGAGAAGUGACACAUAAACACAACCCAAAGCUAAGUGACUUAAUUACAAAUCUAUACCCUUAUUGGAGAGGGAUUUAGGAUGUGGAAGAAUUCAUUUUUAACUCUAAGGGAUGGUCACUGAAGGAGUCUCUUAGAAAUUAUGUGCAUGUUUUUUUCAGGUAUGCCACAGUUGUGGCAAAUGUUCAGGACAGUCUGCCCUUGAUAAUGCUACUGAGUCUUUUUUAUGCUCUUUUAAUUUCUAAACCUUUAUUUCUGGAACAAUAGUAAAAUUUUCGAGAUAAUCAGAAUUUCUCUAUCUGCUGUCUUGUAAUUAAAUAAUCACUAAAACCAAGGAGACUAGGAGUUCCCUUGCAGUGCAAUAGACUGAGCAUCUGGCACUGUCACUGCAGCAGCUCUGGUCACUGCUGUGGUGCAGGUUUGAUCCUUGGCCCUGGAACUUCCACAUGCCAUGGGUGCAGCCAAAAAACAAAACAAACCAAACACCAACAAGGCUUCAAAGUGUGCCUCAAAGAACUAAUGGCAGAGGACAGGAACGUAUACAUGGAGACAAAAGAGCCCAGAACUGAAAUAGUGAAGAGAAUUUCGCAUUUUACAUUUAUUAAAAAUGUGUACCCCAAUCAAAACUCACUAUAUACAUAUAAACACAUACACAUAAGCAAAUCCCCAUAUAAUUAGGUUGAUAAAUACACCCCAAUUUGAGAAGCCUGAUAAUAUGUAGAGCCUUGUCCUUCCAGGAAAGCAGAAUAUGGACUCUCAUUUAAGCUGACCCCUAAACUGGCAGAUGUUAAAGGUAGGUCACAACCAAAAGAAAGGUAUAAGGGAUACCAAGACACUAAGAGAACACAAUCAUCCUUCCCCUCAUUUUUAGGGCCACAUCUGGGCAUAUUCAAGUUCCCAGGCUAGGGGUCGAAUAAGAGCUGCAGCUGCUGGCCUACACCACAGCCACAGCAGGGAUCUGGGUCAUGUCUGCGAACUAGGCCACAGCUCAAGGCAGCACUGGAUCCUUAACCCACUGAGCAAGGCCAGAGAUCAAACACACAUUCUCAUGGAUACUAGUCAGGUUUGUUACCGCUGAGCCAAGACGGGAACACCCCCUCACUUUCUAAUUAACAGAAUCAGGCAAAGAAACAACAACAACAAAAAAACCUAUGAAGUCAUAUGGAAUUAUCACUACUCAUGCAGGGCUAAACAUGGGUGGCUUCUCCUGUAAAGUGUCUCAAUGAUCAAGGUGGAAAGCACCGUGUAAAUAAAAAACAGAUUCUGCAUUUAAAUAUUAAUUCAGUUAGUGUGGGCCUUUGGUUCAUAUGCUUGAAAUGCCAAGUUUCCAAACUAACAACAUAUAAUGUAUAACUAAUCAUGAUGCAAAUCAGCAAAAUAUGGCAUUUGCUCCAGACUUAAUACCACAAGUUCUUACAAAACUAGAGGAGGAAAAAUUUUCUAAGUUUAUGUGAUGCUAAUAAUACACCAAGCUCUGUGAAUCUAACUAUAAUUAAACUAUUUACAUAGGAGAGCAACAUUUUUCUAAAUGUUCAUGCCUCUUAGGCAAGUAAAUGAAAGUUACACUCUUGUGGAAAGUAUUUUACCUUCUGGAAGACAUAACAGACUUUACGACAUUCUUUAAAAGUGAAAGUCCUUUGGAAGUCUUGGUUGAACAAGUAGCUCAUUACAACGAUACGGGGCACCUUGGUGUAAACUACAAAUUCUUGACUUAGAAAACAAGAAUUUCAAAAAGUUUUUGGUUGUACUUUCACUUCACUUUAAAAAAAGUUUAUCUAUGAUUUAAACAGGUUAUCUAAAACAAACGAAUGAGCCCUGACAUUUAACUGGUAUUUUUCCCCUGCGCUUAAACGUACUGUUACCAAACAUUAUCUCCAAUAUUUGGAUUUACUUGUAUUUAAUAUCAUUUCAAUGCUAAAAACCUGAACCGUACUUUAUGUGUAUAUACCCACCCACCCCUUAAAGAACUCAAUCUGCCAAGUUCUAUUACAACUUAAUGCAAUUUUGUUAUUUAUGCAUGGACUGCAAAAGAAAAAAAUACUAUUUCAAUUCUCAAGUUUUUAUCUCUUCCCUACCCAAGUAUUGAUCCAUACUUGCUCCUUUACAACAGAACAGCUUUAUCUUCCUUAUUAAACUGUAAUUUUCACAAUUAAAUGUGUAGUCAGAAGGUGCACAUCAUAUUAAAUAAACUACCAGGUUGCUAAAUAUUUAAAAUUUCAAAAUACUGAGAAUUACUUUCAGUACUUCCUAAAAUUUAUUAGUUACAAUUUACCACAUAGUAUAUAUCUAACAUAAUUAUGCUUUUAGCAAUCAAAUAUAAAUAAUAAGUGCAUGUAUGUUACACAUAAAAAUCAAAAGCCAUUUUUACUUGAUAAAACCCUACUGAUCGUUUAUUUGGGAGCAUGAACAUGGCCAUGGAAAGGUUUGUUCUCGUCGAGAAUGCUCAAGGUUUUGAGAGGCUUAGCAACUCUUGAGACUGGGCCAUCAAACUAACAGUGAUCCAGAACUUAACACUUAGUAUAUUUCAAUAUGGUGACUUUUUAUUUUUAAUUUAAAUAGUAUUAGAAUUUUUCCUGAACUCUAGUUUAAAGGAAAAAAGGGAAAUUUAACAAAUUCACAGAGGGUAUGUUUACAACCAAUGACUUUCAGAAUAAGCAGGAACAGGGGUCUUUAUAGAUUCACAGCCCAAACUCUACUUUUUACACAGAGACUAUAGAAUCAUAAAGCAAAGAUUUAGUCAGUUCAAAGUAUAGCAGCCUCUAGUAAGGCAGUGUUAGGAAAUUUUCAACAAGGGCCAAGACAAAGAAAGACACUACUUAAUGUUCAAUUAAACAGAAUACCCAUUCUCCACCCUCUAGUGAAUUGAGGCUUUUUAACGAACCCUCACAGUUUACCAAAAUUCCAGCCUUCAAGCCCAAUAGUUUUUUUUUUUUUUUCAUGCCACAAUCAGGAAAUCUUUGAAACUGCAGAAUAUAUGCUUUUUAGGGGCUCACAGCAAGUAUUCCUGUAGAGGGAAAAUGGCUAUUACCACUAAGGACAUCAGAUAACACUGUAUCUUAAGUAUAAUUUACUAAAUUAAACAAAAGCCCCUUCACAAACUUCACCUCAAAUACAUCCUCAAAGAAGAAAUGAUAUUCAAAUUACUUAAAAACUUGAGUAACUGUAUCAAAAACAAAUUCAGGUCAAAAUUACAUCUGUUUACCAAAUACUAAGUAGUAUUUAAAAAUUACAAAUAACACCAUUUAGUUUAUAAUCUGAUUCUUGUAACUACUAAAAAAGUUGUGAAAGCAAUAUAGUUAAGUCUCUAAUGGAACCAAGCCACCUCCUUUUCACUAACCAAAAUGUUACUUGGUAGCAAAGUGUCCAAUGUAAAUUCUCCCUUAAGCACCAACUGGUUAACUAUGUAUCAAAGAAUACCCCAUUCAUUUCCCCAGGAAUUUAACUCAGUGUAUCUUUAUAACAUACUUGCAACAAAAUCUUAAAAGUACCCUUGAGUAGCAACAAUCACUGUCAAUCUGCAGUAGCAAGUACAUUUUCAUGGAAAGGCCUGUUCUGAUCAGAGAAUCUUUUAAGAUUUUUAAAAGACUGGCAACUCUUUUGAGUUUGGGUCAUCAAAAUAACAGUAACUGAAUACGUAACAUACUUUAAACACAAGAGUGCAGAAUAUUAGCAACUUAAAAAAAAUUUUUUUUCUCUGAAACCACAAGUAAUUUCUCUGUUCAGAACCCACGUCUGCAACCAGCUCCAACCAACCAGCUCUAACCGGUUCCUAGAGGAAUGCGGUUAGGCUGAAAUUUUGGAAGUGCUGGCUUUGGUGGUGACCAAAGAGGAAGAAGUCUCUGGCUUCCCUGUUGCUGCAGUUCCCACCCUCCAAAAUGAAUAUACCCACCGGUGUGAAUUGACAAUGUGGUCCAAAGAGCAAGGCAGGAACGGAGUCCAGAUCCUCAAAAUGGUAGUACAGGGCAUAACCACUAGGCCACCUAUCAGUUCAGUACAAAAAGUACAACCCUGUGCAUCAUGGUGCAAAAGCUGGGGCCUAGGUUUCGCAUUGUGCAUCUCACACCUAUGGAAAUAACAAGAGGAGUAAAAUCUAUAGAAAUCAACACACCCUAAAAAGUUGGGUGCUCACAGAAGACUGGUGUCAACAAUUUUGCAAAGGUGGUUGGCUGCUGAGAUAAUAAAUGGCAAUUACAAGU